This 751-nucleotide ribosomal RNA is filed under the name uncultured bacterium. Its description in RNAcentral is "bacterial SSU rRNA". It matches the Rfam family "Bacterial small subunit ribosomal RNA", at positions 8 to 796 of the family's 1533-position model. The record is from RNAcentral.
AGAGUUUGAUCAUGGCUCAGAAUCAACGCUGGCGGCGNNNUUAACACAUGCAAGUCGAACGAGAAAGUGGAGCAAUCCAUGAGUACAGUGGCGUACGGGUGAGUAACACGUGGGUAAUCUACCUUUUAGUGUGGAAUAACCCUGGGAAACCGGGGCUAAUACCGCAUAAGCUCGAGAGAGGAAAGUCGCAAGACGCUGAAAGAGGAGCCCGCGGCCGAUUAGCUAGUUGGCAGGGUAAGAGCCUACCAAGGCAGAGAUCGGUAGCCGGCCUGAGAGGGCACACGGCCACACUGGCACUGAAACACGGGCCAGACUCCUACGGGAGGCAGCAGUGGGGAAUCUUGCACAAUGGGGGCAACCCUGAUGCAGCGACGCCGCGUGAGCGAUGAAGCCCUUCGGGUGUAAAGCUCUUUCGUCAGGGACGAUAAUGACGGUACCUGGAGAAGCAGCUGCGGCUAACUACGUGCCAGCAGCCGCGGUAAUACGUAGGCAGCGAGCGUUGUUCGGAGUUACUGGGCGUAAAGGGUGUGUAGGCGGUUGUUUAAGUUUGGUGUGAAAUCUCCCGGCUCAACUGGGAGGGUGCGCCGAAUACUGAAUGACUAGAGUGCGGAGAGGAAAGUGGAAUUCCUGGUGUAGCGAAAUGCGUAGAUAUCAGGAGGAACACCGGUGGUGUAGACGGCUUUCUGGACCGUAACUGACGCUGAGACACGAAAGCNNGGGUAGCAAACAGGAUUAGAUACCCUAGUAGUCC